AGCAGGACCGCGGCUGGGCGGGAGCAUGAGGCUUGUUGGUGUGUCGCAGAGCUGGGGAGCCAGAGGGGGCGCUGGCAUUGGGAGCUCCUGGGAGGGGCACCCCACUCUCAAGAUGGGGCCUCUGGGUCUAGUCCCAGACCCUGGACAGAGUCAGCUGCAGGGCUGUGUUGAGAGGAGUCUGAGGGAAGCAGGGCCUGCAGGGCAUGGUGCGCGGGGUGGUUGGGGCUGCUGCAGACAGGGACUGUGUCCACAUAAAAACACCGUGAGGAGCACCGCAGUGCACGCCAGCAUCCUGUUUCAGGGCAGUGGGUGAGCCUCUCUGGGACCUGAAGGCUGGCUUCCGCAGGGACCUUGCCCCAUGGCAAGGAAGACAGGACUUCUGAGGUGGGCCCUGGGGUCCCCACCAAGGAGGGGCUGCUUGGCCAUCUCCCCGACCACUGCAGCAUUGGCUCGUGUGGGAGCCAAGCCAGACAGAGAGGCUGAGAGGGCCAGACUUGCAGCCAGUCCUGCUGGGCCUGGAGCCCACUUGCCACGGGCUUGAGUUGUUCUGUGGGAGAUGCCGGUGGGCGGCUGGUGGCGGUCCUCCCUGCCCAGCCUGCCCGCCCCAUCCUCUGACUCAGGAGAAAUGGAUUGUGUGGAUUGGGGAUCCUUUUUCUCCUGAUGGUCCCAAAUUCUCUCUCCAUCCCAAAUUUUGUUUUUAAGCAUUUUGGCCAUUUUUCUUUUCAUGUGGAAUGUCCACAAGUAUCACCGACAGAUAACCAAGGGGCUGGGCCUGCACCCUGUGCAGCCUCCCCACUUGGAGGACCUCAACCGCCAGUGGGGGAGGGGCCCCUCAGUCCUGCUUUGUUCAUGGGGAAACUGAGGCAACUUGCUCAAGGCCACACUGCCAGUGGCAGAGUCAGUGGGAUCUCUGUCUCGCUGAUUAUGGGACUGGACCAAGUGUGAGGUCCUGGAAAGCUGGCCUCACUUGGCAGUGGCACUGGGGCAGGAGAGUUGGCUGAGGAAGGCAGGGCCCCUGGGCAUGCUUGGGCCCCCAGAUCUGCCCUUGACGCAUCCACCUCUGUCACCAAGUCUGUGUUUCCAGAGUCAAAGUCCCAGGGCUGCAUGAGCCCAUCUUAUAAAGAGGGGGCUAUGGGCAGCCAGUUAGGGCUGGAUUGAUUGAAAGCAACUCUUCAUAAACCAAAGGAUGGCAUGUUUUCCUUCUCAAAUCACAACUUUGUGCAGUGGUGUGUUCGCAGACAGCCCUAAGAGCUGUCUCUCAUGGAGCAGAGGGCAUGAGUCUGGGGGCAUCCCCAGCUCUUUGGGGCCCAGAGUUCCUGCUCCUCGGUAACUGGUUUCUGUGGGUGUGCAAGCCUCAGCUCCUGCAGACAGGCCCCUGGCCUCUCUGUGGAGGGACCCUGACCUGAGGCCUCUUUGCUAGAAGGAGAAACCUGGCUGCAAGAAGGCACUGUUGUGGGCUCUGCACCUCUUCUGGGAAGAGGGCUGGCUAGUGAUGCCUCUGUGACUGGUUGCUGCUCACGUCCUGGGCAGGCACCCUGGAUGCCUGGGCCCAUAAGGUCCAGGCAAGGCCUCAGGCUAGACCACUGUCUGGUGCUGGCAUGUGCCCACACGCCCUGCCAGUGCCUUCUCACCUGAUGCAGGAGGUUCCUCUCCCUGAGCCUCCCACUGGAGUGGAGGUCAGUUUUUGAUGGUCGAUUUGCUGUGUUUUAAGUAUAUGCUGUUGGAAAAAAACAACUGAAGAAAAUGGAGGGAAAUAUGUUAGUUCUUGUGUAUGGCUUGCCCAGUAUUUACUGCUGGGGCAAGAAGAGGGUUUGAAACAAUAAUGGGAAGUUAAAAUAUUAUUUUCCAUGCACACUGGUUAGACCUGGCUCCCUGAUUCACCGGCCCUGCAUGGAUGGACGCGCAGCUUUCAGCCAAACGGGGCUUGGACCACGAGGUCCAGAUGGCACUGGCGGGUGGCUGGCUUCUGUGUUGGCUCUGUGGGGCUCACAGUGGGUGUCCUGGCCUCCAUCCUCCCAUCCCUGCAGGAGAUCUAAUGCUUUGUGAGGGCCUGAGACCUUCUGGCUGGGCCAGGCAGGGGGGCCUGGGCACCUGAGAGCCUGCUGUGGCGGGUGGAAGUCAGCUCUGGGUCUCGCUGGGUCCCUGCUGGGGCAGAGUGUCUGUCCCUGCUCAGACAGCAUCAGGGAUGGUACAGCUGCCAAGCUCUGUGUGCGCCUGGCCAGUCUGGGCAGCCCUUUGCCCACAAAGCAUGGACAGGGCAGGCCACAGCACUGGGAGGGCCAGCACUGGGGCAGGGGCACUGGCAUCAGCUCCUGAUCUGCAGGUGGUCUGACCCGGCUUGGUUUCCCAUUGUUUGCAGCUUGGAAUCGUCAAUCCUGAUUGGCUGGCCUGAAGCCCCAGAGCUGGAGCUCACUGUGCCUCAGGCUAGGUGGGGAGUGGUGGCGGAGGGGGCUGCCCAGAGAGUACCGUGUUGCCUCCUGGGGCUCGGGGCAGAGUCCCUGGCCUGGAGCCCAGCACUGCCCACUACUGGACAGAGUUGUCCCAGCAUGCCUCCGUGGCCCUGGGUACUUGCACCCCCUCCACCUUUGGCCUCAGUCUUGGCGACCUCUCAUUACUGAGCAGGUUUAUGACCCCCUUCUUGUCUUAUUGGUCUUGAUAAACAAACUUCAGGGCUUCUUGGAAGUGGGGGCAGCCGCAGGAAGGGGUGGGCAACAGAAUGAUGCAGACCCAGUGGCCGGCGUGGGUCAGUGACUUCAGCGGGCCCAGCCCUGGGGGCAUAUCAGGCAAGCAGGAGAGAGAGAGCCUGGGUGCCAGAUCAUAGGUGGGACUCCUGUGGCCUCCUUCCACACUGCCUGGAUCUGGCGGGGAGGAAGGCUAGGCAGGGCUGUGGGUAUGGGUGCUGGUGCAGGUGUGGGCAUGGGCCUGGUGUGGGUGCAUCCUGAUCCACAUGUGGGUGUGGGCCCCGUGUGGGUAUGUGCUGACCCAGGUGUGGGCAUGGGCCCAGUGUGGGUGUGUGCUGACCCAGGUGUGGGCGUGGGCCCGGUGUGGGUGUGUGCUGACCCAGGUGUGGGCGUGGGCCCGGUGUGGGUGUGUGCUGUUCCAGGUAUGGGCGUGUUCUGAUCCAGGUGUGGGCGUGGGCCUGGUGUGGGUGUGUGCUGACCCAUGUGUGGGUGUGUGCUGUUCCAGGUGUGGGUGUGUGCUUUUCCAGGUGUGGGCAUGUGCUGUUCAAGGUGUAGGCGUGUACUGACCCAUGUGUGGGCGUGGGCCCGAUGUGGGUGUGUGCUGACCCAUGUGUGGGUGUGUUCUGUUCCAGGUAUGGGCAUGUACUGAUCCAGGUGUGGGCGUGGGCCUGGUGUGGGUGUGUGCUGACCCAUGUGUGGGUGUGUGCUGUUCCAGGUCUGGGCGUGUACUGAUCCAGGUGUGGGUGUGGGCCCGGUGUGGGUGUGUGCUGACCCAUGUGUGGGUGUGUGCUGUUCCAGGUAUGGGCGUGUACUGAUCCAGGUGUGGGCAUGGGCCCUGUGUGGGUGUGUGCUGUUCCAGGUGUGGGUGUGAGCUGUUCAGGUGUGGGCAUGGGCCUGGUGUGGGUGUGUGCUGACCCAUGUGUGGGUGUGUGCUGUUCCAGGUGUGGGUGUGUGCUUUUCCAGGUGUGGGCAUGUGCUGUUCAAGGUGUAGGUGUGUACUGACCCAUGUGUGGGCGUGGGCCCGGUGUGGGUGUGUGCUGUUCCAGUUGUGGGUGUGUGCUGAUCCAGGUGUGGGUGCUGGUCCAGGUGUGGGUGCUAGUGCAGUCAUGGAGAGAAGAGGCAGGUCAUCUGGGGAAGCAUGUGUGGGAGAGAGAGGGCUGUGCUGCCUGCCCCAUGUCAGGGUGCUGGAUGGGAGAGCACCCUGGGGGUGUGCAGUUGGGCUGCGGGCGCACAGAGCCAGCUGGAGUGAUGAAGAGAGGGAGGCGUGUGUGCGGCCCGGAGGCCUCUGGUCUGCCUGAUGGCUUUAGUGGGAGAGACCGGCCGUAAUCACAGACAGGAGCAGGGGCACGUCCAUCUGCAGCCCUCUUCAGGCCCUUCUUCUUCCCACUCCCUUCUCUGUUACUUCUCAGUGUCCCUCUGUCCCAAGGUCUCCAGGCCUCCUUCCAGAGAGGGUAAUGGGAGGGGCUGGCUGACCAUUUCCUUGGGGAAGUAAUCACCCAACACUAUCAUUCACCCCAUGCCCUCUGCUGGCCACUGGGUGGGAGGAUGUGGGUGUCGUGGACUGUGGGCCAUGGACUGUGGGCAGUGAGCUGUAGGCUGUGAGCCAUGGGUGGUGGGCUAUAGGCCAUGAGCCAGGGGCUAUGGCUGUGGGCUGGGAUCCAUGGGAUGUGGGCCCUGGGCUGUGGGCUGCAGGUGUGGACUGUGGGCUGUGAGCAUUGGCCAUGAGCUGUGGGCAGUGAGCUGUGGAUCACGGCUUGUGGGCUGUGCGCUGAGUGCCUGUUUCUCCGC
Long non-coding RNA from Manis pentadactyla (Chinese pangolin), 4469 nucleotides. RefSeq lists it as uncharacterized. Lineage: Eukaryota; Metazoa; Chordata; Mammalia; Pholidota; Manidae. The transcript has 3 exons. The record is from RefSeq and is a predicted model, not a curated record.